Molecule: ribosomal RNA, 384 nt
Filed under: Bradyrhizobium japonicum
Lineage: Bacteria; Pseudomonadati; Pseudomonadota; Alphaproteobacteria; Hyphomicrobiales; Nitrobacteraceae
Description: bacterial LSU rRNA
Rfam family: Bacterial large subunit ribosomal RNA
Source: RNAcentral
AAUCAAGUGCCUUAAGGGUGUUCGGUGGAUGCCUUGGCGCUGAGAGGCGAUGAAGGACGUGCUACGCUGCGAUAAGCCGUGGGGAGCUGCGAAGAAGCUUUGAUCCAUGGAUUUCCGAAUGGGGAAACCCACCUUCGAUAGCCGGAACUCCAAGACCUCAGUCGAAAGACUGUGGUGUGGGGUUCGAACAGAAAUGUGAGAUUCCURRRCCUUUAGAUUUCGAUCGAAGAGGUUUUGGAUUUCCGGUUAUCAAGAGAAGGUAUGAGACUUCUGAAUACAUAGGAGGUUUCAAGCAAACCCAGGGAACUGAAACAUCUAAGUACCUGGAGGAAAGGACAUCAACAGAGACUCCGUUAGUAGUGGCGAGCGAACGCGGACCAGGCC